RNAcentral lists this ribosomal RNA (279 nucleotides) under uncultured bacterium. RNAcentral describes it as "partial 16S ribosomal RNA". It matches the Rfam family "Bacterial small subunit ribosomal RNA", at positions 506 to 784 of the family's 1533-position model. The record is from RNAcentral.
UGCCAGCAGCCGCGGUAAUACGGAGGGUCCGAGCGUUAAUCGGAAUGACUGGGCGUAAAGCGCGCGUAGGUGGUUACUUAAGCUGGAUGUGAAAGCCCCGGGCUCAACCUGGGAACUGCAUCCAAAACUGGGUAACUAGAGUACAGUAGAGGGGGGUAGAAUUUCAGGUGUAGCGGUGAAAUGCGUAGAGAUCUGAAGGAAUACCAGUGGCGAAGGCGGCCCCCUGGACUGAUAUUGACGCUGAGGUGCGAAAGCGUGGGGAGCGAACGGGAUUAGAUA